RNAcentral lists this ribosomal RNA (206 nucleotides) under uncultured bacterium. RNAcentral describes it as "partial 16S ribosomal RNA". It matches the Rfam family "Bacterial small subunit ribosomal RNA", at positions 568 to 774 of the family's 1533-position model. The record is from RNAcentral.
CUCGUAGGUGGCCAACUAAGUCGGACGUGAAAUCCCUCAGCUUAACUGGGGAACUGCGUCCGAUACUGGAUGGCUUGAGUUUGGGAGAGGGAUGCGGAAUUCCAGGUGUAGCGGUGAAAUGCGUAGAUAUCUGGAGGAACACCGGUGGCGAAGGCGGCAUCCUGGACCAACACUGACACUGAGGAGCGAAGCCAGGGGAGCAAACG